AAUCAACGCUGGCGGCGUGCCUAACACAUGCAAGUCGAACGCGAAAGUCCCGCAAGGGGCAAGUAGAGUGGCAAACGGGUGAGUAACACGUGGGUGACCUGCCUUCGAGUGGGGGAUAACGCCCCGAAAGGGACGCUAAUACCGCAUGACAUCCUGCCUUUGAACAGGUGGAGAUCAAAGCAGGGGAUCGCAAGACCCAGCGCUUGAAGACGGGCACGCGCCUGAUUAGCUAGUUGGUGGGGUAACGGCUCACAAAGGCGACGAUCAGUAGCCGGUCUGAGAGGACGAUCAGCCACACUGGGACUGAGACACGGCCCAGACUCCUACGGGAGGCAGCAGUGGGGAAUUUUGGACAAUGGGCGAAAGCCUGAUCCAGCAAUGCCGCGUGUGUGAAGAAGGCCUUCGGGUUGUAAAGCACUUUUGUCCGGAAAGAAAUGGCUCUGGUUAAUACCUGGGGUCGAUGACGGUACCGGAAGAAUAAGGACCGGCUAACUACGUGCCAGCCGCCGCGGUAA
This 515-nucleotide ribosomal RNA is filed under the name uncultured bacterium. RNAcentral describes it as "partial 16S ribosomal RNA". It matches the Rfam family "Bacterial small subunit ribosomal RNA", at positions 32 to 523 of the family's 1533-position model. The record is from RNAcentral.